RNAcentral lists this ribosomal RNA (362 nucleotides) under uncultured bacterium. Its description in RNAcentral is "partial 16S ribosomal RNA". It matches the Rfam family "Bacterial small subunit ribosomal RNA", at positions 338 to 697 of the family's 1533-position model. The record is from RNAcentral.
CCUACGGGUGGCUGCAGUGAGGAAUAUUGGUCAAUGGACGCAAGUCUGAACCAGCCAUGCCGCGUGCGGGAAGAAGGCUCUCUGUAUUGUAAACUUCUUUUGUACGGGAGUAAACUCAUGUACGCGUAUCUGGCUGAAAGUAUCUUACGAAUAAGGAUCGGCUAACUCCGUGCCAGCAGCCGCGGUAAUACGGAGGAUUCAAGCGUUAUCCGGAUUUAUUGGGUUUAAAGGGUGCGUAGGCGGUCGGAUAAGUUAGAGGUGAAAUCCCGGGGCUCAACUUCGGAAUGGCAGUUGAUACGGGGCGGCUAGAGAGUAGUAGCGGUAGGCGGAAUGCAUGGUGUAGCGGUGAAAUGCUUAGAUAU